AGUUCAUAGGCCCACACGUUCUCGCGGUCCAGGGCGCUGUCCAGCACCAACGAGUAGUAAUUCUUGAAGGUGGACACCAGCUUGAAGGGAACGUGGGGCGUCAGCGAGCAGGUCACCUGUCCGUUGACACCUGAGUCACGGUCAGACACGCUGAUCAGGGCAAUGACCGUGCUGGGCUGAGCGUCCUCUCGUACUGGGAGGGACAAGGAAGUCACGGCGACUUCAGGAGAGUUAUCGUUGGUGUCCAAGAUUUCCACCCAGACUGUACAGUGACCUGCCAUUGGGGGAGUCCCCUUAUCUGUAGCCUGUACUUCAAUUUUAUAAAACUUGUUUUCUUCAUAAUCUAAAGUUCCAUUGACCCUCACUUCUCCAUUAUUUUGAUCUAGUGUAAAUAAGUGUCUUCCAUUGGGCUUAAUUGACAUUAAGGAGUAUGUUACCUCUCCAUUGACUCCUUCGUCUCGGUCUGUGGCGUUUAGUUUGAGCACAAGAGUUUCUUUAGCAGCAUUUUCCAUAAGGCUCACCUUAUAUUCUGAUUUAUCAAACUCUGGAUCAUUGUCGUUGACAUCCAAGACUUGGACUAACAGCCGAACGGUGCCAGUAAGCUCUGGUUUUCCCCCGUCUGUAGCUGUUAGCAGCAAAUUAAGUUCCGGAGUUUUCUCUCUAUCCAGAGACUUCUUUAAAAUAAGUGACAGUCUUUUAAUCUGCUUACCAUUUGUUGGUGAAUCUAAAGAAAAAUACUCAUUUUUACUUAGCCUGUAGGUCAAUAGAGCAUUCUCUUCAAUGUCAGCAUCAGAAGCUCCCUCUAGUGGAAAACGCGAGUCCGAUUGCUUAGAUUCCGCAAUCAGCAGCUUUUGUUCUCUGAGCGAGAACACCGGCGGGUUGUCGUUAAUGUCCUUCACCUCCACGUUCACAUGGAAAACCUGCAGCGGCCUGUCCACGAUCACCUCCAGGUGGAUGCUGCACUCCGCGCUCUGCCCGCACAGCUCCUCGCGGUCGAUCCGAGAAUUCACAAACAAAAUGCCAUUCUGCAGAUUUACCUCCAGAAGGUCCCCAUGUGUUUUGGACGCCACCCGGAACAGGCGCUGCACCAGCUCCGCCAGCUCCAGCCCCAGGUCCUGCGCGAUGCGGCCCACGAAGGUGCCGUGUUUGGCCUCCUCCGAGACGGAGUAGUGGAGCUGGCCGCUCCCCACCUCCCAGAAUUCGAGGAGGAGAAGCCAGAGCUGUAGUCGUGGGGUGCCCAAUCCCCUUCUCUGAAAACCAAACAUCGCAUACGAAAUUGGCUUCCAAAAUAAGCUUCUUUACACUUACAGUACCAGAUUCUUCAGUUUCAGGUUAAAAAUCUCGUUGAAUUCUUAAGAAGUUUCAAAGGAUCCUUAAACGGUGGCAUCCGGUAUGAUGGAGUUCCUUUGUAUGGGAGUGCCUCACUGUUCAGACCAACCUUUAAAUGAACUUUCCACCAAGUAAAGAGCGACACCUUGCGCCUAAAACUGUAAAAUAUUCAGUGGAAUCAAGACUGUAAGUCAACAACGAAUUUGUUCCGAUAUCUGCAUCUGAUGCGCCCUCUAGCGAAAACCGAGAGCCAGGCUGUCGGGAUUCGGAAAUAAACAGAUUCUUUACAGCCAUUGGAAAAACUGGCGCGUUGUCAUUAAUGUCCUUCACUUCCACCUCCACAUGGAAAACCUGCAGCGGCCUGUCCACGAUCACCUCCAGGUGGAUGCUGCACUCCGCGCUCCGCCCGCACAGUUCCUCGCGGUCUAUCCGAGAAUUCACAAACAAAAUGCCAUUCUGCAGAUUUACCUCCAGAAGGUCCCCGUGUCUUUUGGACGCCACCCGGAACAGGCGCGGCACCAGCUCCGCCAGCUCCAGCCCCAGGUCCUGCGCGAUGCGGCCCACGAAGGUGCCAUGCUUGGCCUCCUCAGAGACGGAGUAGUGGAGCUGGCCGCUCCCCACCUCCGAGGCUGCGAGGAGCAGAAGAGAAAGCAGCAGGCACUGGGCUCCAGGAUCUUCUCGCCAGGAGAACAACAUUAGAGGAUGAAGCAAAGCAGUAUCUGAAUACGUAAUGCACGCUGUUAUUUCUUUUGUGGAGAAAGACCUUGUGGUGGACAGCGACAUCAUGUGGCUAAACGUGUAAGUAUUAAAUAUGUAAACGUAUCUUCUUUUCCUUGUAUGUCGUUUGAACUUUCCCAAAAUUUCUAGUUUCAAUUGUAAUAUCCUUCGGUCACUCCUCAAAGUCCUUAUAUUUUAUCUAAAUAUUUCCUUAGAACUUUUAUACUAAUUCACUAUCAAUUGUGCUAAUUCAUGACAUACACUAAAAUAUUGUGAUUCCUGUUUUAACAGUGGACAUCUAUUGGAAAUAUUUCCCAUGUGACAGCCACUUUUCUAUUUGUCUUAAUGGAAUUAUCCCGUUAAAUUAUCACAAUCCUCUGAAAUAAGUUUUAAUAUUAUUCGCUUUUUAUAAACACAUAGAGGUUAAGUAAAACGAUAUUAUCUCUUGGUACGAUGGGAUUUCAAUCUGAUUCAAGACAACUUACCAUUAACCUCUUUACCACCCAAGUUACAUUUUAUAGAAAAAUCAGAUCCUUUCAGAUUUAUGAUCAUCAAAACAUUGAGAUGUUGAAGUAUUUAAAAGUGUGUGUGUGCUGUAUAUAUUAAAACAUACAUAUAUCUACUUUUAUGUUAUUACAGCAACUGUUAAUUUCUUAAAAUAUGUACAUUUAUGGUUUUUUAAAUUUGUAGAAUGUCUGUAAUUCCCUCCCAUGCCCCUUUUUCAAGAACUAUAGCCUCAUCAACUGUCUUGACUGUAACUUACAUAAAGAUUUCAGAAGUCGGUCCUUUACAGAGAAAUUCAAACAGGAAAUUUGUUUCCUAUUGUGGGAAUGUGAUUUGUAUAUUUGUUACACUCACAUCACAUCAAUUAAGAAUAUAUUAGGUUUAAUUUUUCCACACUCUUUAUGUAUUUGAAUUUACCUGUAUAUACUAAAAUGUUAACAAUAUAAAGUAAUUACGUUUUUGAUGAUCUCC
Molecule: long non-coding RNA, 3021 nt
Filed under: Homo sapiens (human)
Lineage: Eukaryota; Metazoa; Chordata; Mammalia; Primates; Hominidae
Description: non-protein coding lnc-HARS-6:1
Source: RNAcentral